Molecule: RNA transcript, 2531 nt
Organism: Lycium ferocissimum
Lineage: Eukaryota; Viridiplantae; Streptophyta; Magnoliopsida; Solanales; Solanaceae
Exons: 10
Source: RefSeq, a predicted model, not a curated record
AGUUAGCGCUGCACUAGUCUCUCUUCCUUCUCAAGCACACUUUCACUUUGAUAUUCAAAACCCAACAAAUCCGCCAGUUACACGUUAUAUAUUUUGUACAUUCAUCACUUCCCGCUACUCUUUCUCUCUCUAAAAAAUUCUUACUAUUAAACCCUAGUUCUACUCUAAAACGUUUAAGGAUAUUCUUUGGCCACAAGAUCAUGAUACAAGUUAAGGAGGAAGCUCCGACUCUGGAAUUUGGUGGAUUCACUUCUUGUUCAUCUUUCUCUGAUAGCAGUUAUGAGGCUAGCACUCCAAGAUGCUCCUCCGAGCCUGGUUCCAGUUGCCGAAGGAGCUCAGUUCCGACUAAACGUUCUUCUCAGGCAGGCUGGACAGAAGAAGAGGAUAAUCUGUUGACUGAAGUGGUGAAAAGGUUCAAAGGGAAAAACUGGAAAAGAAUAGCUGAGUGCGUGAAUGGAAGGACCGAUGUGCAGUGCUUGCAUCGCUGGCAGAAGGUUCUGAAUCCUGAGCUUGUGAAGGGUCCUUGGACAAAGGAGGAGGAUGACCAGAUAAUUGAGUUAGUUGGGAAAUAUGGCAGUAAGAAGUGGUCUGUUAUAGCAAAGUCUUUGCCUGGUCGCAUUGGCAAGCAAUGUCGGGAAAGGUGGCACAACCAUCUUGAUCCUACAAUAAAAAAAGAAGCCUGGACUGAACAAGAAGAAUUGGUCCUAUGCCACUAUCACCAAAUGUACGGGAACAAGUGGGCUGAAAUUGCCAGGUUUCUGCCCGGAAGGACUGAUAAUGCAAUUAAAAAUCACUGGAAUUCCACGGCGAAGAAAAGAACAAACUUGAAUUUACUAAGUAGGUUGUAUAUCCAAAGUGAGGGAUCUCCGGAUUUCUCAAGUCACAAGAAAAAACUAGAUAUCAAGAAGCUUCCAAUACAGGCUCAUAAUGCAGAAACAUUUUUUUUGAGCGAGCAGACAGGAGUAGAUAAUGUUGCUGAUGCUUGCUUAACUGAUCUGAGAAUUGGAUAUGCUAGUUCUCCGCGAAAUAUUUUGCAUAAGGAUACUUCUUUAUUUGGAGCCUGUAAAUCAUCAGAAGACAAUGUGAGGGAUCUCAUAAAGCCACUUGUUGGAAUACAAUUUGGCAAGGCAGAGAUUAUCCCAAUUGCUGAGACAGAUAAACCAUGCCAAUCCAAUUUAAAUUCACAUCCUCUCUUGGCCUCUUCUUUAGAUUUUCCUUUGGAUCCAUCACACCACACCAGGUGGAAUAGUUCUCAAGUUGAGGCUGUUCCUCCGACUACUUUUGGAAGAAUGUAUGAAUCUCCCAAAAGGUCUAGGCACGCCACUGUUGAUGAUCCUGACCAUGAUUUUUUGAGUUUGUCAUUGGCUGGCUUCACCGAGGUUCAUUCCCAAGGUAACAAAAAGAAUAAAACAUAUGAUGCACAAUCUUCUUUGCCUCUCAAGCAGCCUGGUUGCUUAUAUUAUGAACCACCAAAAUUAAAGGACUUGUUGAUUCCUAUAACGGAUGAAAACCUUAGUAGAGACAACCUUAUCAGGCAACAAAAUGGCCCUCCACUUUGCUCUACACCUCCUAGUCUUAAAUUAACAGUCUCUGCUAAUGGUAGCAGUCCAGAAUCUGUGUUAAGGAAUUCCGCAAUGAGCUACACAAAAACUCCUUCAAUCAUAAGAAAGAAGACUUUGAGAUUUCCAGAAGCUUCUGGGCAUUCUAGUUGCAUGGGCACCACGACUCCCUCAUAUGUUGUCCGUGGUGCUCCUGAUGAGGAAGACACCUCAAACCUGAAGGACAGGAUUUCUGUAUGUAAAACAUCAGUUUCAGGAAAAUCUCUUGGAAGGCGGUUGGAAUAUGCCUUUGAUAUGGAAUGGGAUUCCUCUAGAUGUUGCACACCAGUUCCUGCAGCUCCGCCUUGUGGACUUACUCUUGGUGCUAUUGGUGCUAAUACAAUGUUGACACCAUAAAAAUGGAGAGACAAUUCAUUACAUGGACCAAAUUGGUUUGGCUGAAAAGACACUUAUUCUGGAAAGAGCAACGUGAUAUGUUCCUGCCUAAAUGUUCAUCUGGAUCAGCUGUAUAGGAUUAGUCUGGAGAAGCUUUUGUUGUAGAUUACAAUGGCGGAGAAUUCUCAAAGCAUGUCAAUUUUCGAGGUAACAAAUACCUGUGAAACAAUGACAUGCUGAUACACUGAGAAAGGCCAAGUUGAAGCUGAAGAACUAGUCGGAGAUGGAAGCCGUGAUUUUGAUAUAUUCACAUAAGCCUCAUGAGCCUAUUACUAAUAAGAAAAUAGCGUAAAAAGUUACAACUGCAUGAACAAGCUUUUUGGAGUAAUUCUUGUUUUUGGAGUUGCAUAAUUCUAUUCCUACUUCAGAAGUCUAGUGGAAGGAGGGGGGUUGUUUGUAAAUAUGCAUUUAGAAUCAAUUGCCUGCAGUUUUGUGGCAUUUUACAUUGUUGCAAAAAUGUGCUCCUAGUGGUUUGCCUUGUUCCAUGGCAUUGUUAAACAAAUAAUUAUAUUAUCCUGAACCGUUGGAGAGAGAAAA